GUUUUUGGUCUGACAUCACAGGUUUUCAAUGUUUGAUGACCAUGUCAUAACAAAAACAUUUCAUUUCUCAAGUGUAGCUUGAUUUCUGUUAUAUGACGCAGAUCACGUCAUAGAAUACAGAACACAUAUUUGUUAGAGAAGAUCACAUGUUAUGAUACAUAUGUUAUAGUUUAUGGCCUGAAUGGAAUUGGUAGUCACAUAGAUGUGUUUCAUAUAACAGUUAUCAAACAUCUACAGAAUUCAAAUGGAGGUCAAAGCUACUUAUCAAAACUGACUACAAAAUUCAUUAUGAGGUCAUAUGUGAUUGUGAAAUCAGUGAAUAAUUAAUACACAACUGUGCAGAUGUCGAAACUCAAUUGUACUUGAAAACACAAUGGUCAUAGGUAAUUUUUGUUGUGAUAUUUCAAUGAAUGCUUAAAAUAAAAGAAUAUGAUAUAUCUAUGAUCUAUCUAUAUCAUCUAUUGAUUUGCUACUAUUAGUGGUUUUACUUUAUCUGUCACGCUAGUUUAAUGGAACCAAAUUGGAGCGUCUCCAACGCUUGUGAUCAUGUCAUCCACAACGCCUACAUCUCACUGUUGGUUUCCCUUAUUUGGAUGAUCUCUUCCUCUUCUCAGUAGGUCUUCUGGAACUACUCUUUUGGUUAAGAGCUAACACAAUUUUGGAUUAUACUUCUAUAGGUACUGUCCAUUCGUUCGGAUUUCCAACAUGAUAUAUAGAAUUUUGGUAGCAUUCAUAUAUGCAUCUCUUGUUUAAUAAUAAGAAUAGUAAGCAUUUUGAUUCCUCUUUGUAUUUACAAUUACAGUCAAGGCUUGUGGACACAGUAACAAAUCAACUUAUAGAAUCUUACAUGUACAUGUACACUGACAGAAAACACUGACUAGUUGGAAGGAGAUACCUGUGAGAAUGUAAUAACAAUUAUAGUAUCAUGUCAAAGUUAUGAUGGAUAUGUCAUAUAUAUAUAUAUAUAUAUAUAUAUAUAUAUAUAUAUAUAGUCACAUAUUUAUAAUUCAAGUCACAUGCAUUUAUAUUCAAGAGACAUACACUUAGGUCCAGGUAACACAUGCAACUGACGCAUACAAAUAAGUUCUAUCACAAACAUACAGUUCAAGUCACAUGCAUUUAUGGUGAGUCACAUACAUAAAUUUUAGUGUCAGAGUAAUAACAUUACCCUCAAGUGCCUCAAAUCUACACUCGUUUUCCUUAUCUCUUUCUCAUGCAUGCUUGAAAAUUUUGUGAAAGUGUCAUGCACGUCAUCUCUAUGUUUACAAAAUCAAGAUUGUAUGAUUUACUGCAAUGACUCUAGCAAAAAUACAAUAGGGUAAUUCUUGGCUGCUUUUGUGACUGCAUUAACCAAUUCUACGAUUUUCGAAUUCAUUGUAGAGUAUCUGAAUGCUGACAUAUGGACUCGUUACCACUUUUCGAGCUCAACAUCUGCUUACAAACAUAUAUCAUAUCGACGAGUAUCAUAUAAAUGACAUCUGUGACCAUUUUAUGUAUGUGAAAAUGUAAUCAGAUGUAGUAUACUACCAGGUAACUAGUAAUCUUCUCAUUCAUUGUGUCCAGUCUUCGUGUGUUAUAUUCAAAUUCUUCCAAUGUAUAAGCGCCGACAGCCAAAUUGAAUGCUUGUGUAAUAUUUUGACAUGAUUUCCC
This 1650-nucleotide long non-coding RNA is filed under the name Olea europaea (common olive). Its description in RNAcentral is "long non-coding RNA (OEUR_LNC013471)". Lineage: Eukaryota; Viridiplantae; Streptophyta; Magnoliopsida; Lamiales; Oleaceae. The record is from RNAcentral.